RNAcentral lists this ribosomal RNA (447 nucleotides) under uncultured bacterium. RNAcentral describes it as "bacterial SSU rRNA". It matches the Rfam family "Bacterial small subunit ribosomal RNA", at positions 335 to 801 of the family's 1533-position model. The record is from RNAcentral.
ACUCCUACGGGAGGCAGCAGUCGGGAAUAUUGGACAAUGGGCGAAAGCCUGAUCCAGCAAUACCGCGUGUGUGAAGAAGGCCUGCGGGUUGUAAAGCACUUUCAGUUGGGAAGAUAAUGACGUUACCAACAGAAGAAGCACCGGCUAACUCCGUGCCAGCAGCCGCGGUAAUACGGAGGGUGCAAGCGUUAAUCGGAAUUACUGGGCGUAAAGCGCACGUAGGCGGUUUACUAAGUCGGAUGUGAAAUCCCGGGCUCAAGCUGGAACUGCACCCGAUACUCGGUAGACUAGAAUUUGGGAGAGGUGAGUGGAAUUUCCGGUGUAGCGGUGAAAUGCAUAGAGAUCGGAAGGAACACCAGUGGCGAAGGCGACUCACUGGACCAAAAUUGACGCUGAGGUGCGAAAGCGUGGGUAGCAAACAGGAUUAGAUACCCUGGUAGCUACGAG